GAUUAACGCUAGCGGCAGGCCUAAUACAUGCAAGUCGAGGGGCAGCGUGGUCUUCGGACUGACGGCGACCGGCAAACGGGUGCGUAACGCGUAUGCAACCUACCUACUACUGGGGAAUAGCCUGGGGAAACUCGGAUUAAUACCCCAUAAUACAGGGCUUCUGUAUGGAAAUAUUUGUUAAAGCUCCGGCGGUAGUAGAUGGACAUGCGUCCUAUUAGCUUGUUGGUGAGGUAAUGGCUCACCAAGGCGA
Molecule: ribosomal RNA, 250 nt
Filed under: bacterium
Lineage: Bacteria
Description: partial 16S rRNA
Rfam family: Bacterial small subunit ribosomal RNA
Source: RNAcentral